This 403-nucleotide ribosomal RNA is filed under the name uncultured bacterium. Its description in RNAcentral is "partial 16S ribosomal RNA". It matches the Rfam family "Bacterial small subunit ribosomal RNA", at positions 28 to 526 of the family's 1533-position model. The record is from RNAcentral.
GAUGAACGCUGGCGGCGUGCCUAAUACAUGCAAGUCGAACGCAGUGGGGACGGGUGAGUAACACGUGGGUAACCUCCCAUCAGAGGGGAUAACACUUGGAAACAGGUGCUAAACCGAUACUGAUGGAUGGACCCGCGGUGCAUUAGCUAGUUGGUGGGGUAACGGCUCACCAAGGCCACGAUGCCUAGCCGACCUGAGAGGGUGAUCGGCCACACUGGAACUGAGACACGGCCCAGACUCCUACGGGAGGCAGCAGUGGGGAAUCUUGGGCAAUGGGCGAAAGUCUGACCGAGCCACGCCGCGUGAGUGAAGAAGGUUUUCGGGUCGUAAAGCACUGUUGUUGGGGAGGCGGUAACCAACCAGAAAGCCACGGCUAACUACGUGCCAGCAGCCGCGGUAAUUC